RNAcentral lists this ribosomal RNA (415 nucleotides) under uncultured Kutzneria sp. RNAcentral describes it as "bacterial SSU rRNA". It matches the Rfam family "Bacterial small subunit ribosomal RNA", at positions 505 to 918 of the family's 1533-position model. Lineage: Bacteria; Bacillati; Actinomycetota; Actinomycetes; Pseudonocardiales; Pseudonocardiaceae. The record is from RNAcentral.
GUGCCAGCAGCCGCGGUAAUACGUAGGGUGCGAGCGUUGUCCGGAAUUAUUGGGCGUAAAGAGCUCGUAGGCGGUUUGUCGCGUCGACUGUGAAAACCUACAGCUUAACUGUGGGCUUGCAGUCGAUACGGGCAGACUUGAGUUCGGUAGGGGAGACUGGAAUUCCUGGUGUAGCGGUGAAAUGCGCAGAUAUCAGGAGGAACACCGGUGGCGAAGGCGGGUCUCUGGGCCGAUACUGACGCUGAGGAGCGAAAGCGUGGGGAGCGAACAGGAUUAGAUACCCUGGUAGUCCACGCCGUAAACGGUGGGAACUAGGUGUGGGGGGCUUCCACGCCCUCCGUGCCGUAGCUAACGCAUUAAGUUCCCCGCCUGGGGAGUACGGCCGCAAGGCUAAAACUCAAAGAAAUUGACGGGA